This 274-nucleotide ribosomal RNA is filed under the name uncultured bacterium. RNAcentral's name for it is "partial 16S ribosomal RNA". It matches the Rfam family "Archaeal small subunit ribosomal RNA", at positions 473 to 747 of the family's 1478-position model. The record is from RNAcentral.
AAACCAGCACCUCAAGUGGUCAGGAGGAUUAUUGGGCCUAAAGCAUCCGUAGCCUGCUCUGUAAGUUUCCGGUUAAAUCCAUUAGCUCAACUGAUGGGCCGCCGGAAAAACUGCAAAGCUAGGGAGUGGGAGAGGUAGACGGUACUCGGUAGGAAGGGGUAAAAUCCUUUGAUCUAUUGAUGACCACCUGUGGCGAAGGCGGUCUACCAGAACACGUUCGACGGUGAGGGAUGAAAGCUGGGGGAGCAAACCGGAUUAGAAACCCCGGUAGUCC